CUAGCGGCAGGCCUAACACAUGCAAGUCGAGGGGCAUCACGGGUAGCAAUACUGGUGGCGACCGGCGCACGGGUGAGUAACGCGUAUGCAACCUACCUAUAACAGGGGGAUAGCCCGGAGAAAUUCGGAUUAAAACCGCAUAAUAUUGCGAUAUCGCAUGAUAAUGCAAUAAAAAGCUUCGGUGGUUAUAGAUGGGCAUGCGUGACAUUAGCUAGUUGGUGAGGUAACGGCUCACCAAGGCAGCGAUGUCUAGGGGGCCUGAGAGGGUAGUCCCCCACACUGGUACUGAGACACGGACCAGACUCCUACGGGAGGCAGCAGUGAGGAAUAUUGCGCAAUGGACGAAAGUCUGACGCAGCCAUGCCGCGUGCAGGAUGACGGCCCUAUGGGUUGUAAACUGCUUUUGUGUAGGAAGAAACUCAACUACGUGUAGUUGACUGACGGUACUAUAUGAAUAAGCAUCGGCUAACUCCGUGCCAGCAGCUGC
RNAcentral lists this ribosomal RNA (487 nucleotides) under uncultured bacterium. Its description in RNAcentral is "bacterial SSU rRNA". It matches the Rfam family "Bacterial small subunit ribosomal RNA", at positions 36 to 518 of the family's 1533-position model. The record is from RNAcentral.